Molecule: long non-coding RNA, 568 nt
Organism: Sander lucioperca (pikeperch)
Lineage: Eukaryota; Metazoa; Chordata; Actinopteri; Perciformes; Percidae
Exons: 3
Source: RefSeq, a predicted model, not a curated record
CACCUCUUGUUCCAGGUAACUACUUCCUGCCCCUGUGUUUUCCCACCUGUGUGAUGACCUGCCCCGGCCCGAUUAGUUCCACCUGUGUCUAAUCACCCUCCCUCCCUUGUGUAUUUAAUCUUUGUCCUCCCCUUGUCUUUUGCAAGUUUGUUGUCUCUCCUUGUGGGAAGGAGUCCAGCCUGUUUAUUGUGUUUUAGUUUCAUAGUGUGUCAGUAUUAGGAUUUCCUUCUGCCUAUUUUUGGACUCUGAACUAUCUGUGACAGAGGACUACUGGGUCACAGAGCGGAGUCUGUGAAAAUCUCACCACACUUUUAAUGACUUUAAAUGAGAUUCGUAAAACAUGCAGAAAUUUAGAGAGGGAGAAAGAAACAGAGGGAGGGACUGAGAGCGAGAGACGGCGAGGAAGCAGCAACGCCUGCCACCAAGCUGACAGCGAGCAGGCUUGACAUUUGGCCUCUCAUAAUUAGGAAAGUGCCAGAUUCCGUCCCACUAAAUCUCAGCUCAAAAUCAUUAUUCUCGACGGUGUUGACUCUGCAAUGUCCAACCCGCUUAAGCCCUCCUCUGUGCU